AGGAUUAACGCUGGCGGCGUGCAUGAGACAUGCAAGUCGAACGGACGAGUGGGCUUGCUCACUCGUUAGUGGCGGACGGCUGAGUAACGCGUAGGUGACCUGCCCCGAAGUGGGGAAUAACUGCCCGAAAGGGUGGCUAAUACCGCAUGUGGUGCCACGUUCAUUCGUGUCUCCAAAGCCGCAAGGCGCUUCGGGAGGGGCCUGCGUCCGAUUAGCUCGUUGGUGGGGUAAUGGCUCACCAAGGCGACGAUCGGUAGGUGGUCUGAGAGGACGAUCACCCAGACUGGGACUGAGACACGGCCCAGACUCCUACGGGAGGCAGCAGUCGGGAAUUUUGCUCAAUGGGCGCAAGCCUGAAGCAGCAACGCCGCGUGGGGGAUGACGGCCUUCGGGUUGUAAACCUCUUUUCCCGGGGACGAUGAUGACGGUACUCGGGGAAUAAGUCACGGCUAACUACGUGCCAGCAGCCGCGGUAAUACGUAGGUGACGAGCGUUGUCCGGAUUUACUGGGCGUAAAGAGCGCGCAGGCGGUCGUACAAGUCGAGUGUGAAAUCCCCCGGCUCAACUGGGGAACGUCGCUCGAUACUGUUCGACUUGAAGGCGGGAGAGGGAAGCGGAAUUCCCGGUGUAGUGGUGAAAUGCGUAGAUAUCGGGAGGAACACCAGUGGCGAAGGCGGCUUUCUGGCCCGUUCUUGACGCUGAGGCGCGAAAGCUAGGGUAGCAAACGGGAUUAGAUACCCCGGUAGUCCUAGCCGUAAACGAUGGACACUAGGUGUUGGUGGUAUCAACCCCGCCAGUGCCGAAGCUAACGCAUUAAGUGUCCCGCCUGGGGAGUACGGCCGCAAGGCUAAA
RNAcentral lists this ribosomal RNA (852 nucleotides) under uncultured soil bacterium. RNAcentral describes it as "bacterial SSU rRNA". It matches the Rfam family "Bacterial small subunit ribosomal RNA", at positions 26 to 898 of the family's 1533-position model. The record is from RNAcentral.